CUUUUUACCAGUUUUCCACAGAGAAUUCCACAUGUCUCCACUCCCCGGGCAGUGUUGGCACUGGCUAACUGGAGAAACUGUGGGCACAGCCGCCCAGGCACCACCACAUGGCGCAAUCCAUCGAUUGUGGGAACUGUAAAGGAGAAAGGAGAAUAGUCUGCGACCACUGAGCCCUGCCUCCUCAAGCAGACCUCACAGCCAGCAGCCCUGGAGGAGCAACAUUAAGCCACUGGGAUUCCCCCAACUUCAGGCAAAUCAGAAUCAGAAUCAAGAUUUUAAAGGUAUCUCCAAGAAAAGUGAA
Molecule: long non-coding RNA, 301 nt
Filed under: Homo sapiens (human)
Lineage: Eukaryota; Metazoa; Chordata; Mammalia; Primates; Hominidae
Description: non-protein coding lnc-DUSP11-3:3
Source: RNAcentral